GGCCAGUUGAUAAGGACACUAAUUACUGUGUGCAGGCGUUAUAGACAGCAGUCCGCACUGUUUUUGUUUUCCACAACUUUCUAAAAGUUGGUACCUUAUCUAGAAAUCAAUAAUCAACUCAAAUUCACGACUCAUUUUUACACAAUUGGGUGGCUAUGUCAUUGUAAGGCAUUUAUAUUCCAUCAGCAACAGAAUCAUUACAAACAGGAAGGAAAAAUUCAAUUGAAGAAGCAGGAAGAUGAAGAAAAGAAAAAAUAGUAAUCCUUAUAUUCAUUAUUAUGGAAAAUCAUGAAGUUCCUGAUUAAUCCUUUGAAUUUCAAACUAGGUAGCUAGUAGUCUAGUUACACUAAUGUCCACCCAGAAACCGGAAACUUAUCAUAAAGAAAAUAGAGGCUGCAGAAAUGGCCAAGCCAACAUAAAUCCAAUUUCCCCAUCUAGUAUGACACGAAAACCCAUGCCCCUUUUCAAUUUUCCCCCUCUUAUAUAAUUUGGACCGCAAACAUUAGAUAUUGCAACUCAUAAAACAAUUUUAAAGUUAAGAAAUAUGUUAGUUGCAUC
RNAcentral lists this unclassified non-coding RNA (558 nucleotides) under Hevea brasiliensis (rubber tree). Lineage: Eukaryota; Viridiplantae; Streptophyta; Magnoliopsida; Malpighiales; Euphorbiaceae. The record is from RNAcentral.